Plodia interpunctella (Indianmeal moth) is the source of this 337-nucleotide long non-coding RNA. RefSeq lists it as uncharacterized. The record is from RefSeq and is a predicted model, not a curated record. The transcript has 2 exons. NCBI's taxonomy places the organism in Eukaryota, Metazoa, Arthropoda, Insecta, Lepidoptera, Pyralidae.
UAAGCCCCAAACGCGGUUAGUACAAUAAAUCACUGACGUUAUAUCAACUUUGAUCAAACCAAAUCCAAAAGAGAUAAAACCAUUGGAUACUACAAAUACACAUUGAAAUUUUCCAUUUUUGGAGCGAAUUUCUAUUGAUGCAGAUUUAUUGAUCAUGGGUUUGUAGGACAUCAAUGUAGUAGUCGACACAACAUCUGCUGGUGUCAAUUUGAGCUCCAUCACAACUCAAGCAUCAUAUUAUGAAAAGGGACGAAAAUAAUUGACAAGUCUUCUAUUGUUUUACAAGGACGAAGCAAUGGUCACAAUAUACCUCAUACCAAAUAUAUUUUUGCAUUUA